Molecule: non-coding RNA, 285 nt
Filed under: Paraliobacillus sp. PM-2
Lineage: Bacteria; Bacillati; Bacillota; Bacilli; Caryophanales; Bacillaceae
Source: RNAcentral
GAUAAAUCGCUGAUGAGAACAAAGGAAUAAACCCAUUGUAUAUACAGAGAGCCGGGGUUGCUGGAAGCCCGGAAAUACAAGUUAUUCUGACAUCGUCUCGGAGUGUUGAAUGGAACAGUAGGAACUACUACUAAGUAUAUUUAACCGGGUGUGAACAAAGGCACUCGUUACUAAAAAUUGAAGCUAUGUAAUUAUGCAUACACGAAGUAGCUUCAUAAGGCAGUAUUUGUGAAAAUACUGUGAAUCAGGGUGGUACCGUGAAAAGCUAGACCUUUUCUCCCUUGU